UACAGAGGUCUCAAGCGUUGUUCGGAUUCAUUGGGCGUAAAGGGUGCGUAGGUGGCGCUGUAAGUCGGGUGUGAAAUUUCGGAGCUUAACUCCGAAACUGCAUUCGAUACUGCGGUGCUUGAGGACUGGAGAGGAGACUGGAAUUCACGGUGUAGCAGUGAAAUGCGUAGAGAUCAUGAGGAAGACCAGUGGCGAAGGCGGGUCUCUGGACAGUUACUGACACUGAGGCACGAAGGCCAGGGGAGCAAACGGG
This 253-nucleotide ribosomal RNA is filed under the name uncultured bacterium. RNAcentral's name for it is "partial 16S ribosomal RNA". It matches the Rfam family "Bacterial small subunit ribosomal RNA", at positions 524 to 776 of the family's 1533-position model. The record is from RNAcentral.